AUACCGAGGACCGAUUCCCUCGUAAAUCCAUUCGGAAAAAAACAAACGCAAACGACGAACGUUUUGCUCUCGCAGCCUAAGUGCUAGCGAGCGCUGCACCGGCUCUCUGAUGGGCCGGGCGGGGCAACCCGCAGCAGUGUCAUUCACAUCAGAUCGUCAUCGGAUAAGCCGUGGGUCCGAUGCCUAAAACAAGCGGAUCGCCAGUUGCCGGCCUGUCGGUUGGCUAAGCAGCUUGGUUAAAUCAAAUUAAUCGACUAAGUAUGUAGAACUGUCUUUGGAAGACUUGCGGACGCGGGUUCGAUUCCCGCCGGCUCCACCA
Molecule: transfer-messenger RNA, 319 nt
Filed under: Betaproteobacteria bacterium
Lineage: Bacteria; Pseudomonadati; Pseudomonadota; Betaproteobacteria
Description: partial transfer-messenger RNA
Rfam family: transfer-messenger RNA
About the family: Bacterial tmRNA, also known as 10Sa RNA or SsrA, is named for its dual tRNA and mRNA-like properties. Its role is to liberate the mRNA from a stalled ribosome.
Source: RNAcentral